GGUCAUCCUACAGCUUGACAUUGCAUUUAAGAUGGACACACUGAUACAGGAUGGAGCGAUGUCAACAUCGAUGUGGGCCUGGCCUACAGAGACGACACCGUCAGCGAGUGGACUGAGAUGGCGCACUCUUACGAGCAGAGGAAGCUCACCUGCACUUUACU
This is a long non-coding RNA of Etheostoma spectabile (orangethroat darter), 161 nucleotides long. RefSeq lists it as uncharacterized. NCBI's taxonomy places the organism in Eukaryota, Metazoa, Chordata, Actinopteri, Perciformes, Percidae. The transcript is spliced from 3 exons. The record is from RefSeq and is a predicted model, not a curated record.